Molecule: ribosomal RNA, 420 nt
Filed under: uncultured bacterium
Lineage: Bacteria
Description: bacterial SSU rRNA
Rfam family: Bacterial small subunit ribosomal RNA
Source: RNAcentral
UAAGGAAUAUUGCUCAAUGGGAGAAAUCCUGAAGCAGCAACGCCGCGUGGAGGAUGAAGGGUCUAUGACUUGUAAACUCCUGUAAAGAAGGAAAAAAUUCCCAUUAGAUGGGAGAUGAUGGUACUUCUGGAGUAAGCCCCGGCUAACUACGUGCCAGCAGCCGCGGUAAUACGUAGGGGGCAAGCGUUGUCCGGAUUUACUGGGUGUAAAGGGUGCUCAGGCGGAUUUGUAAGUCAGAGGUGAAAUCUUACAGCUUAACUGUGAAACUGCCUUUGAUACUGCAAGCCUGGAGUAUGGAAGAGAGUGAUGGAAUAUCUGGUGUAGCAGUGAAAUGCGUAGAUAUCAGAUAGAACACCAAUGGCGAAGGCAGUCACUUGGUCCAUUACUGACGCUAAAGCACGAAAGCGUGGGUAGCAAACA